This 464-nucleotide ribosomal RNA is filed under the name uncultured bacterium. RNAcentral's name for it is "partial 16S ribosomal RNA". It matches the Rfam family "Bacterial small subunit ribosomal RNA", at positions 28 to 507 of the family's 1533-position model. The record is from RNAcentral.
GACGAACGCUGGCGGCGUGCUUAACACAUGCAAGUCGAACGGAAAGGCCCUGCUUGCAGGGUACUCGAGUGGCGAACGGGUGAGUAACACGUGGGUGAUCUGCCCUGCACUUCGGGAUAAGCCUGGGAAACUGGGUCUAAUACCGGAUAGGAGCCAUUUUUAGUGUGAUGUUGGAAAGUUUUUUCGGUGUAGGACGAGCUCGCGGCCUAUCAGCUUGUUGGUGGGGUAAUGGCCUACCAAGGCGGCGACGGGUAGCCGGCCUGAGAGGGUGGACGGCCACAUUGGGACUGAGAUACGGCCCAGACUCCUACGGGAGGCAGCAGUGGGGAAUAUUGCACAAUGGGCGCAAGCCUGAUGCAGCGACGCCGCGUGGGGGAUGACGGCCUUCGGGUUGUAAACUCCUUUCGCUAGGGACGAAGCUUUUUGUGACGGUACCUAGAUAAGAAGCACCGGCUAACUACGUG